AUGCGAUGGGGGAACCCUGCUCCGCCUGCCGCGUGAGUGAUGAAGGCCUUCGGGUUGUAAAGCUCUUUUGUGUGGGGAGAUAAUGACUGUACCACAAGAAUAAGCCCCGGCUAACUUCGUGCCAGCAGCCGCGGUAAUACGAAGGGGGCUAGCGUUGUUCGGAAUUACUGGGCGUAAAGGGUGCGUAGGUGGUUAUGUAAGUCAGAAGUGAAAGCCCUGGGCUCAACCCGGGAAUUGCUUUUGAAACUAUGUAGCUAGAGUUCGAGAGAGGUAAGUGGAAUAUCCAGUGUAGAGGUAAAAUUCGUAGAUAUUGGAUGGAACACCAGUGGCGAAGGCGGCUUACUGGCUCGAUACUGACACUGAGGCACGAAA
Molecule: ribosomal RNA, 372 nt
Filed under: uncultured bacterium
Lineage: Bacteria
Description: bacterial SSU rRNA
Rfam family: Bacterial small subunit ribosomal RNA
Source: RNAcentral